UACGUAGGAGACGAGCGUUGUCCGGAGUUACUGGGCGUAAAGCGUGCGCAGGCGGUGAUGUAAGACAGUUGUGAAAUCCCCGGGCUCAACCUGGGAACUGCAUCUGUGACUGCAUCGCUGGAGUGCGGCAGAGGGGGAUGGAAUUCCGCGUGUAGCAGUGAAAUGCGUAGAUAUGCGGAGGAACACCGAUGGCGAAGGCAAUCCCCUGGGCCUGCACUGACGCUCAUGCACGAAAGCGUGGGGAGCAAACAGG
RNAcentral lists this ribosomal RNA (253 nucleotides) under uncultured bacterium. RNAcentral describes it as "partial 16S ribosomal RNA". It matches the Rfam family "Bacterial small subunit ribosomal RNA", at positions 524 to 776 of the family's 1533-position model. The record is from RNAcentral.